UCUUGGUCUUAGAAAAUAUGAUUUUAUCAAGAUGAAGUCUUUGAAAAAUAAGGUGUGGCUGCCACCUUCCAAUCACUAGAUUUUCUUUUAUGGGAUAAAAAAACAGUAAAUUACUCCAUAGAGUACAUGGCAAUGAUUAACGCGUGUUAAGGGUGUAGUUGUUGGGGUCUCCAUUGACAAAGCCACCAUGGUGGUGAUGAACCUUGAUGGUGAAAGUGUUUCAAGAUGAUAAUGACAACACACAGUAGCCAAGUGACAUGGAGGAUGGAGAGGGAUGGAAAGUUGGUGAUGGCUUUGGAAAAAAGGCAGAGCUUUAUUUGUGGCAGUGUAUGGUAGUGCUCGACUAAGUGUUUCAUGGCUCUGCUUCUUCUUCAUGCUAGCAUUGAUGUUCAUCAUUUGUCCUCUACUUUUUCAGUUUGGGUGUUAGAUUGGAAGGCAGCAACACACCAGCUUUUUGGAUAUAUAGUCGCCUUGAUGCCCUACUCUCGAUUCAGUUCAUAUGGCUGAUUUCUAUAGUUUUAAUCUAUGAGCAAUUUAAAUGCAGUCUGCUUAGAAGUUGAGAUGAGAAGAUGAAGGCUUAAGCUGAAGCAGACCAUGGAAAUGUACAGCAGUACAGCUUGCAAAGAAGCACUUUCUGCAAAAACGAAAGUAGUUCCAUUUCAUCAUCUACUACACGAAAAGUUUGAAAGAAGUUCGCUGUCAUUGAACUCAAUCCUGCAUUUGAACAUGGACUCAGUUGGCUCAGGAAGGAACUUAACUGAAGAUAUCAAUGUCUCACAAUUGAAGAUAUCAACGUCUCCAAAGAUUACCCCUGCGAAGUGCGGGCAUCAAAUCUAAGUGUAUAUAUAUAUAUUUAUAUAAAGGUUCAUAAAAUUUUCUUCA
This is a long non-coding RNA of Populus trichocarpa (black cottonwood), 882 nucleotides long. RefSeq lists it as uncharacterized. The transcript has 3 exons. The record is from RefSeq and is a predicted model, not a curated record. NCBI's taxonomy places the organism in Eukaryota, Viridiplantae, Streptophyta, Magnoliopsida, Malpighiales, Salicaceae.